UAGUAGCAAGUUGUUCAACUUCCC
This 24-nucleotide small nuclear RNA is filed under the name Arabidopsis thaliana (thale cress). RNAcentral's name for it is "snRNA_11794". Lineage: Eukaryota; Viridiplantae; Streptophyta; Magnoliopsida; Brassicales; Brassicaceae. The record is from RNAcentral.